ACGGCCCAGACUCCUACGGGAGGCAGCAGUGGGGAAUAUUGGACAAUGGGGGGAACCCUGAUCCAGCCAUGCCGCGUGUGUGAAGAAGGCCUUAUGGUUGUAAAGCACUUUAAGCGAGGAGGAGGCUACUCUAGUUAAUACCUAGGGAUAGUGGACGUUACUCGCAGAAUAAGCACCGGCUAACUCUGUGCCAGCAGCCGCGGUAAUACAGAGGGUGCGAGCGUUAAUCGGAUUUACUGGGCGUAAAGCGUGCGUAGGCGGCUUAUUAAGUCGGAU
Molecule: ribosomal RNA, 276 nt
Filed under: Acinetobacter baumannii
Lineage: Bacteria; Pseudomonadati; Pseudomonadota; Gammaproteobacteria; Moraxellales; Moraxellaceae
Description: partial 16S ribosomal RNA
Rfam family: Bacterial small subunit ribosomal RNA
Source: RNAcentral